Long non-coding RNA from Sinocyclocheilus grahami, 193 nucleotides. RefSeq lists it as uncharacterized. The transcript is spliced from 4 exons. The record is from RefSeq and is a predicted model, not a curated record. Lineage: Eukaryota; Metazoa; Chordata; Actinopteri; Cypriniformes; Cyprinidae.
GCCACCUAAGCAAGUGACACUGGGGCGAUGCAAAUGACGAAGACGCCCUCUCUGUGUGUUCUGAAACCGUUGCUGAGGAUUUUUCACAACCUGCCCCAGAAACUGAAGCCUCUACCUCAAUGGGCUUCAGAAGGAAUGUGAACAAGGUGGAAACUGACUCAGUUAGGGCCCUUUGCAAAAGGAGCCUAGAAUU